RNAcentral lists this ribosomal RNA (293 nucleotides) under uncultured prokaryote. Its description in RNAcentral is "partial 16S ribosomal RNA". It matches the Rfam family "Archaeal small subunit ribosomal RNA", at positions 455 to 747 of the family's 1478-position model. The record is from RNAcentral.
GUGCCAGCAGCCGCGGUAAUACCGGCAGUCCGAGUGAUGGCCGAUCUUAUUGGGCCUUUAGCGUCCGUAGCUGGCUGAACAAGUCCGUUGGGAAAUCUGUCCGCUUAACGGGCAGGCGUCCAGCGGAAACUGUUCAGCUUGGGACCGGAAGACCUGAGGGGUACGUCUGGGGUAGGAGUGAAAUCCUGUAAUCCUGGACGGACCGCCGGUGGCGAAAGCGCCUCAGGAGAACGGAUCCGACAGUGAGGGACGAAAGCUAGGGUCUCGAACCGGAUUAGAUACCCGGGUAGUCC